This 830-nucleotide ribosomal RNA is filed under the name uncultured Bacillus sp. Its description in RNAcentral is "bacterial SSU rRNA". It matches the Rfam family "Bacterial small subunit ribosomal RNA", at positions 336 to 1160 of the family's 1533-position model. The record is from RNAcentral. Lineage: Bacteria; Bacillati; Bacillota; Bacilli; Caryophanales; Bacillaceae.
CUCCUACGGGAGGCAGCAGUAGGGAAUCUUCCGCAAUGGACGAAAGUCUGACGGAGCAACGCCGCGUGAGUGAUGAAGGUUUUCGGAUCGUAAAGCUCUGUUGUUAGGGAAGAACAAGUACCGUUCGAAUAGGGCGGUACCUUGACGGUACCUAACCAGAAAGCCACGGCUAACUACGUGCCAGCAGCCGCGGUAAUACGUAGGUGGCAAGCGUUGUCCGGAAUUAUUGGGCGUAAAGGGCUCGCAGGCGGUUUCUUAAGUCUGAUGUGAAAGCCCCCGGCCAACCGGGGAGGGUCAUUGGAAACUGGGGAACUUGAGUGCAGAAGAGGAGAGUGGAAUUCCACGUGUAGCGGUGAAAUGCGUAGAGAUGUGGAGGAACACCAGUGGCGAAGGCGACUCUCUGGUCUGUAACUGACGCUGAGGAGCGAAAGCGUGGGGAGCGAACAGGAUUAGAUACCCGGUAGUCCACGCCGUAAACGAUGAGUGCUAAGUGUUAGGGGGUUUCCGCCCCUUAGUGCUGCAGCUAACGCAUUAAGCACUCCGCCUGGGGAGUACGGUCGCAAGACUGAAACUCAAAGGAAUUGACGGGGGCCCGCACAAGCGGUGGAGCAUGUGGUUUAAUUCGAAGCAACGCGAAGAACCUUACCAGGUCUUGACAUCCUCUGACAAUCCUAGAGAUAGGACGUCCCCUUCGGGGGCAGAGUGACAGGUGGUGCAUGGUUGUCGUCAGCUCGUGUCGUGAGAUGUUGGGUUAAGUCCCGCAACGAGCGCAACCCUUGAUCUUAGUUGCCAGCAUUCAGUUGGGCACUCUAAGGUGACUGCCGGUGACA